This 132-nucleotide small RNA is filed under the name Klebsiella pneumoniae. RNAcentral describes it as "RtT sRNA". It matches the Rfam family "RtT RNA". From Rfam's summary of the family: This family represents a bacterial cis-regulatory element known as RtT RNA. The exact function of RtT is unknown although it is thought that it may be involved in changing the cellular response in relation to amino acid starvation. Lineage: Bacteria; Pseudomonadati; Pseudomonadota; Gammaproteobacteria; Enterobacterales; Enterobacteriaceae. RNAcentral also lists the same sequence under 2 other names. The record is from RNAcentral.
UAUUCUGCCCCACGGGGAAGGAUGAGAAGCUUCGACUAAGGUUCGACUCGAGCGUAGCGAGAGAACGUUGCCGAAGGCAACGGCCCGAAGGGCGAGGCGCUUUAGCGCCGAGUAAUCCUUCCCCCACCGCUG